Molecule: ribosomal RNA, 1081 nt
Filed under: uncultured organism
Description: bacterial SSU rRNA
Rfam family: Bacterial small subunit ribosomal RNA
Source: RNAcentral
GGUGAGUAACACGUAGGUGAUCUACCACGAGGUUGGGGAUAGCCCAUGGAAACAUGGGGUAAUACCGAAUGCGCUCUUUUGGCUCUGGCCGGAAGAGGAAAGGGGCUUUGGCCCCGCCUAGUGAUGAGCCUGCGGCUGAUUAGCUUGUUGGUGGGGUAACGGCCUACCAAGGCGACGAUCAGUAGCCGGCCUGAGAGGGUGAUCGGCCACACUGGGACUGAGAUACGGCCCAGACUCCUACGGGAGGCAGCAGCUAAGAAUCUUCCGCAAUGGACGAAAGUCUGACGGAGCGACGCCGCGUGGGUGAUGAAGGCCGUGAGGUUGUAAAGCCCUUUUCUACCUGAGGAAUAAGCCCUUGAGGGAAUGCGAGGGUGAUGACGGUAGGGUAGGAAUAAGCCCCGGCUAAUUACGUGCCAGCAGCCGCGGUAACACGUAUGGGGCGAGCGUUGUUCGGAAUUAUUGGGCGUAAAGGGCGUGUAGGCGGACAUGCAAGUCUGGUGUGAAAGACCGCAGCUCAACUGCGGGCACGCGCUGGAAACUGUAUGUCUUGAAUCCUUGAGGGGGAACUGGAAUUCCUGGUGUAGGGGUGAAAUCUGUAGAUAUCAGGAAGAACAUCAGCGGCGAAGGCGAGUUCCUGGCAAGUGAUUGACGCUGAGGCGCGAAAGCGUGGGUAGCAAACAGGAUUAGAUACCCUGGUAGUCCACGCUGUAAACGAUGUGCACUAGGCGUUGGGGUGUUGAAACCUCAGUGCCGGAGCUAACGUGGUAAGUGCACCGCCUGGGGAGUAUGCCGGCAACGGUGAAACUCAAAGGAAUUGACGGGGGCCCGCACAAGCGGUGGAGCAUGUGGUUUAAUUCGAUGAUACGCGAGGAACCUUACCAGGGCUUGACAUAUACCGGGAGUCGUGUGAGAGCGCGGCGCCCUUCGGGGCCGGUAUACAGGUGCUGCAUGGCUGUCGUCAGCUCGUGCCGUGAGGUGUUGGGUUAAGUCCCGCAAGGAGCGCAACCCCUAUAGUCUGUUGGUAUCAGGUAAUGGUGAGGAGUCAGAUGAGACUGCCGGUGUCAAACCGGAGGAAGGUGGG